GUCACUGCUAUCAGUGUUCGACUAAGCCAUGCAAGUCAAAUGUUCUUCGUGAACAUGGCGGACUGCACAGUAACACGUGGAUAACCUGCCCUUAGGAUUGGCAUAACACCGGGAAACUGGUGAUAAUACCGAAUAGACCAUUUAUGCUGGAAUGCUUUUUUGUUCAAAGGCUUCGGCUGCCUAAGGAUGGAUCUGCGGCCUAUCAGGUAGUAGUGGGUGUAAUGUACCUACUAGCCUACGACGGGUACGGGUUGUGAGAGCAAGAGCCCGGAGAUGGAUUCUGAGACAUGAAUCCAGGCCCUACGGGGCGCAGCAGGCGCGAAAACUUUACAAUGCGGGAAACCGCGAUAAGGGGACACUGAGUGCCAGCAUAUUAUGUUGGCUGUCCACAUGUAUAAAAACCAUGUGUUAGCAAGGGCCGGGCAAGACCGGUGCCAGCCGCCGCGGUAACACCGGCGGCCCGAGUGGUGAUCACUUUUAUUGGGUCUAAAGGGUCCGUAGCCGGUUUGAUCAGUCUUCUGGGAAAUCUGACAGCUCAACUGUUAGGCUUUCAGGGGAUACUGUUAGACUUGGGACCGGGAGAGGUAAGAGGUACUACAGGGGUAGGAGUGAAAUCUUGUAAUCCCUGUGGGACCACCAGUGGCGAAGGCGUCUUACCAGAACGGGUCCGACGGUGAGGGACGAAAGCUGGGGGCACGAACCGGAUUAGAUACCCGGGUAGUCCCAGCCGUAAACGAUGUUCGCUAGGUGUCAGGGACGGUGCGACCGUUUCUGGUGCCGUAGGGAAGCCGUGAAGCGAACCACCUGGGAAGUACGGCCGCAAGGCUGAAACUUAAAGGAAUUGGCGGGGGAGCACUACAACGGGUGGAGCCUGCGGUUUAAUUGGAUUCA
RNAcentral lists this ribosomal RNA (891 nucleotides) under uncultured archaeon. Its description in RNAcentral is "bacterial SSU rRNA". It matches the Rfam family "Archaeal small subunit ribosomal RNA", at positions 23 to 914 of the family's 1478-position model. The record is from RNAcentral.